This 497-nucleotide ribosomal RNA is filed under the name uncultured bacterium. RNAcentral's name for it is "partial 16S ribosomal RNA". It matches the Rfam family "Bacterial small subunit ribosomal RNA", at positions 28 to 507 of the family's 1533-position model. The record is from RNAcentral.
GAUGAACGCUGGCGGCGUGCCUAAUACAUGCCAGUCGAGCGAACAGACGAGGAGCUUGCUCCUCUGACGUUAGCGGCGGACGGGUGAGUAACACGUGGAUAACCUACCUAUAAGACUGGGAUAACUUCGGGAAACCGGAGCUAAUACCGGAUAACAUGUUGAACCGCAUGGUUCAACAGUGAAAGACGGUUUUGCUGUCACUUAUAGAUGGAUCCGCGUCGCAUUAGCUAGUUGGUAAGGUAACGGCUUACCAAGGCAACGAUGCGUAGCCGACCUGAGAGGGUGAUCGGCCACACUGGAACUGAGACACGGUCCAGACUCCUACGGGAGGCAGCAGUAGGAAAUCUUCCGCAAUGGGCGAAAGCCUGACGGAGCAACGCCGCGUGAGUGAAGAAGGUCUUCGGAUCGUAAAACUCUGUUAUUAGGGAAGAACAAAUGUGUAAGUAACUAUGCACGUCUUGACGGUACCUAAUCAGAAAGCCACGGCUAACUACGUG